This 253-nucleotide ribosomal RNA is filed under the name uncultured bacterium. RNAcentral's name for it is "partial 16S ribosomal RNA". It matches the Rfam family "Bacterial small subunit ribosomal RNA", at positions 524 to 776 of the family's 1533-position model. The record is from RNAcentral.
UACGAGGGGGACUAGCGUUGUUCGGAUUUACUGGGCGUAAAGCGCGCGUAGGCGGAUCGCUAAGUCAGGGGUGAAAGCCCAGGGCUCAACCCUGGAAUUGCCUUCGAUACUGAAGAUCUCGAGACCGGAAGAGGUAAGUGGAACUGCGAGUGUAGAGGUGAAAUUCGUAGAUAUUCGCAAGAACACCAGUGGCGAAGGCGGCUUACUGGUCCGGUUCUGACGCUGAGGCGCGAAAGCGUGGGGAGCAAACAGG